RNAcentral lists this ribosomal RNA (478 nucleotides) under uncultured bacterium. RNAcentral's name for it is "bacterial SSU rRNA". It matches the Rfam family "Bacterial small subunit ribosomal RNA", at positions 1 to 526 of the family's 1533-position model. The record is from RNAcentral.
GCUUAGAGUUUGAUCCUGGCUCAGAGCGAACGCUGGCGGCAGGCUUAACACAUGCAAGUCGAGCGGGCGUAGCAAUACGUCAGCGGCAGACGGGUGAGUAACGCGUGGGAACAUACCUUUUGGUUCGGAACAACACAGGGAAACUUGUGCUAAUACCGGAUAAGCCCUUACGGGGAAAGAUUUAUCGCCGAAAGAUUGGCCCGCGUCUGAUUAGCUAGUUGGUGAGGUAACGGCUCACCAAGGCGACGAUCAGUAGCUGGUCUGAGAGGAUGAUCAGCCACAUUGGGACUGAGACACGGCCCAAACUCCUACGGGAGGCAGCAGUGGGGAAUAUUGGACAAUGGGGGCAACCCUGAUCCAGCCAUGCCGCGUGAGUGAUGAAGGCCCUAGGGUUGUAAAGCUCUUUUGUGCGGGAAGAUAAUGACGGUACCGCAAGAAUAAGCCCCGGCUAACUUCGUGCCAGCAGCCGCGGUACGCC